CAGUCGCCGCGGUAAAACGGAGGGUGCAGGCGUUAAUCGGAAUUACUGGGCGUAAAGCGUGCGUAGGCGGUUUGUUAAGUCUGCUGUGAAAUCCCCGGGCUCAACCUGGGAAUGGCAGUGGAUACUGGCAAGCUAGAGUGUGUCAGAGGAUGGUGGAAUUCCCGGUGUAGCGGUGAAAUGCGUAGAGAUCGGGAGGAACAUCAGUGGCGAAGGCGGCCAUCUGGGACAACACUGACGCUCAGGUGCGAAAGCGUGGGGAGCAAACAGGAUUAGAUACCCGCGUAGUCCCUGUCUCUUAUAC
This 301-nucleotide ribosomal RNA is filed under the name uncultured bacterium. Its description in RNAcentral is "partial 16S ribosomal RNA". It matches the Rfam family "Bacterial small subunit ribosomal RNA", at positions 509 to 807 of the family's 1533-position model. The record is from RNAcentral.